CCAAUAGCGUAUAUUAAAGUUGCUGCAGUUAAAAAGCUCGUAGUUGAAUUUCGGGACUAAUAUGUCGGUCGUGCCUCGGUACGUACUGGUAUUUUUGGUUUCUCCCUUCUGACGAACCUUGAUGUCAUUAAUUUGGUGUCUUGGGAAAUCAGGACUGUUACUUUGAAAAAAUUAGAGUGUUUAAAGCAGGCUCACGCUUGAAUACAUUAGCAUGGAAUAAUGAAAUAGGACGUUUGAUUCUAUUUUGUUGGUUUCUAGGAUCGACGUAAUGAUUAAUAGGGAUAGUUGGGGGCAUUAGUAUUCAAUUGUCAGAGGUGAAAUUCUUGGAUUUAUUGAAGACUAACUACUGCGAAAGCAUUUGCCAAGGAUGUUUUCAUUAAUCAAGAACGAAAGUUAGAGGUUCGAAGGCGAUCAGAUACCGCCCUAGUUCUAACCAUAAACGAUGUCGACUGGCGAUCCGCUUUUGCUAACAUGAAGGCUUAGCGGGCAGCCUCCG
RNAcentral lists this unclassified non-coding RNA (496 nucleotides) under uncultured Glomus. Its description in RNAcentral is "bacterial SSU rRNA". It matches the Rfam family "Eukaryotic small subunit ribosomal RNA", at positions 591 to 1092 of the family's 1831-position model. Lineage: Eukaryota; Fungi; Glomeromycota; Glomeromycetes; Glomerales; Glomeraceae. The record is from RNAcentral.